This 1719-nucleotide ribosomal RNA is filed under the name Triticum aestivum (bread wheat). RNAcentral describes it as "partial small subunit ribosomal RNA". Lineage: Eukaryota; Viridiplantae; Streptophyta; Magnoliopsida; Poales; Poaceae. The record is from RNAcentral.
AUGCUCUACCUGCGCCAGAAUAAAGGCUUCUUGUAUGCCUCUCUUUCUGUUAUGUCUCACAUAGUUUUCUUAGCUGGGCAAAUAUCCCAGAAUUCAUGGAUGGCUGCCAAUGUCCAAAAUCCUCAUGUUAGUACACUGAAGUUAAUUUCUGUGUACGUUGGUAUUGGAGUUUGCACAAUGAUCUUUGUGCUAUCGAGAUCUUUAUUUGUCGUUGUUCUUGGCAUCCAAACUUCAAGAUCCUUAUUUUCCCAGUUACUCAAUUCAUUGUUCCGUGCACCUAUGUCCUUCUUUGAUUCUACUCCUCAAGGAAGGAUUCUUAGCCGGGUCUCUUCAGAUUUGAGUAUCGUUGACCUUGAUAUUCCAUUUGCAUUCAUGUUUAGCCUCAGUUCCAGCUUAAACGCAUAUAGCAAUGUGGGGGUAUUGGCUGUUGUUGUAUGGCAAGUUCUCUUUGUAGCACUGCCGAUGAUAGUUUUGGUAAUUCAGUUGCAGAGGUACUAUUUAGCCUCAGCUAAGGAAUUGAUGCGGAUCAACGGAACCACCAAGUCUGCUCUAGCAAAUCAUUUAGGUGAAUCGAUCUCAGGGGCUAUAACAAUACGUGCCUUUGAGGAGGAAGAUCGUUUCUUUGCCAAAAAUCUGGAGCUUGUUGACAAGAAUGCCGGUCCAUACUUCUUUAAUUUUGCAGCAACUGAAUGGUUAAUUGAACGUCUGGAAAUAAUGGGUGCUGUGGUUCUUUCUUCUUCUGCCUUUGUCAUGGCUCUUCUUCCUGCAGGAACUUUUAGCCCUGGUUUUAUUGGAAUGGCAUUGUCCUAUGGCCUUUCCCUAAAUAAUUCCUUUGUUAACACCAUACAAAAGCAAUGUGACCUCGCAAAUAAAAUAAUAUCUGUGGAACGGGUGAACCAGUACAUGGACAUUCCGAGUGAAGCACCAGAAGUUAUUGAAGAAAACCGACCAGCACCAGAUUGGCCCCAAGUUGGCAGCGUGGAGCUUAAAGAUCUGAAGAUUAGGUACAGGGAAGAUGCACCCCUUGUACUACAUGGUAUCACUUGCAAAUUUCAAGGUAGAGAUAAGAUUGGUAUUGUUGGUCGAACAGGAAGUGGCAAGACAACUUUAAUUGGUGCAUUGUUUCGCCUUGUUGAACCUGCUGAAGGGAAAAUAAUUAUAGACUCUGUGGACAUCAGUACAAUAGGCUUGCAUGACCUGCGUUCGCGUUUGGGCAUCAUUCCACAAGAUCCAACACUUUUUCAGGGUACAGUAAGAUACAAUCUAGAUCCUCUUGGGCAAUUCUCGGAUCAGCAAAUAUGGGAGGUUCUUGACAAAUGUCAACUUCUUGAAGCUGUCCAGGAGAAGAAACAGGGAUUGGAUUCACUUGUUGCGGAAGACGGGUCGAACUGGAGCAUGGGCCAAAGGCAGCUCUUUUGUUUGGGGCGCACACUUUUGAAAAGGUGCCGCAUCUUGGUCCUUGAUGAAGCAACAGCCUCUAUAGACAACACAACAGACGCCGUCCUUCAAAAAACGAUCCGGACAGAAUUCAAACAUUGCACCGUUAUUACGGUCGCCCACCGUAUACCAACAGUUAUGGACUGCGACAUGGUACUUGCAAUGAGUGAUGGGAAAGUAGCGGAGUAUGACAAACCCUCGAAGCUCAUGGAAACUGAAGGAUCUCUCUUCCGCGAGCUGGUGAACGAGUACUGGUCAUACACAUCAAACGGAAACAUUUAG